Long non-coding RNA from Anas platyrhynchos (mallard), 4034 nucleotides. RefSeq lists it as uncharacterized. The record is from RefSeq and is a predicted model, not a curated record. Lineage: Eukaryota; Metazoa; Chordata; Aves; Anseriformes; Anatidae.
GCUGGAGUGGGUGAGGAGAGCUCAUAUAUUCUGUUCCCUGGCUGAACUCUGAGGAUAUGACUGUCUGCAGGUAGCUGCUAACAAAUAGGAGAGAAGAUAGGUUGUGUGAUGGUGGCCUAAUGCUGCUGCCGGUGCUACAUUCAGCAGACUGGAAUCAAUAGCAGUUGCUAUAAAGAGGCCUUAUCAGUCUGGAUAAAGACAGAGACUUUACAGAAGCAGCAACUUAAAUGCUUGAGAAGCAUACAGCUGAUGUUUCAGGCAAGAAGAUUGUCAGAAGACCUGGAAAAUGCCUGCAUGGCCAUUGCUUCCCCCAUGGACAGGAGCAGGCACUGCUCCACCUGAGCGUGUUCACUGCCAAUACUGCACAGGCAGCUGUCCCAGGGGACAAGGAACAGAUGACACUACCAAUGUACAGCGUGUCAGAGGAUCUCCCGGGCAAUUUGCAAAGCUACUGGCUACACAGGGCACAAGGAUUUCAAGCACUGAAUGUGGAUCUGGGAGCACAGAGCUAGGAGGAUUUCUUCCAAGGAAAUCUGUUUUGGAAUCAGUUUUCAGAUACAACAGGAGACUGACAACUUCCACUGAAAGACAGACAACCUUCAGUGAAGCUACUUGAAUGAAGCGACUUCACAAUAAAAUAAAAACCCUGCAAGGUACUGAUGAAGGUCAAGUAUAAACUAAGUUAAUUAUGUAAUUGGUAACAAGCGACUUCCAGCUCUGGCAAAUUAUGUACUUAAUGCAAAGUAUUAAUAUUCGUUGUUUUGUUGAAAUGAGUGUCUGUGAUCUCAUCCUUGAAUGAAAAGAACCAAAGAAUUUAAGAUUUUGCCACUAAGCUAAGGCAUGGGUGUGUUUCUGGGCCACUGGCUGCUGGCUUUUGGCUUAUGCUAUAGGCAGCAUCUCAAGUAUUUUGUACAAAGGAGUUGGAUACGUAUUUAUACAACUUAUACAAUAUUUAUGCCUGAGCUCAGUGUUUGUUUUGAAUGCAAUUGAGAAUGAACUCGUACAGUAAACACUGGUGUCCUUUAGAGAUAGCACAAACCAAGCAGCACUUCUGUUCAUACGCUCACUGCUCCAUCGGCUUCAAAGCACUCGCUGAAGCACAACUGGAGAAAGAAUGUAGUUUCAUAAAGCACAGCUCCCGCUUUUUCCCUCCUACCGAUCUGUGAUAAUUUUCUCAGAGCUGGGGGAAGGAAAUGUUUGAAAUUCUGAGCUGGUUACCAUGCUGCUCUCAGUCCAAGUGAGCCCAACCCAAGAUGUGAGAUGCCCGCAUCUGCACUUCAGCAGCCUCUUGUGAUAUUGAGCACAGCAUCAGGAAAACAAUUUCCCAACCAUAUAUCAUUAGAGAGCUCAGUGCAAGAGGAUUGCCUGACAAAGGCUUUUCAAUCUGAUAGAGACUGUGAAAGCUCUUUACAGUUUCCUGAUUAAAUGAAUUGUCUCUUAAACCGACUGAUGACAAUGAAUCAGCUUCUAGCUCCUCAACCACAGGUGCGUGAUCCUGCUCACCCUGCUGGCAGGGGACUUGUGUAGGCUCCUGAUGUUUUUUGGGGUGAGGAGGGGUUGUGGUGGUGGUUGAGGCAGGAGGAUGCAUGGACUGGAGGCUCUGCAGCUGUGUUUUGGGCUGGCUCCCUGCCUGCUCUGCCCGCUGCUUGGGGAGAGGAUCCUGGAUUGUGGGGAAAAUACCUCUGGGAUUAGUGGGCUGAAGAUCCUAGCUGCUCAAGCAGGUGCAUACGGCAGCUCAGUGAAGUGUUGCUUGCUGGAUUUGUUUACUUUUUGACUUUCUGUCAUGUUUCUGUUGGAGGAGCACUGAUGUGCCCAGUGCUGAUCCUUAGAGGGGCUGUUCCUGCGGGCUGCAGGGUCACGUCAGCUGCAGCAGUGGCUGCUCGCUUCCCCUGGAAAUGGCGGCAGUACCCAGCUGCCUUAAAAAGGUAAAUUGUAAGUCCAAGAAAUGGGAAUUAAAGUUUCCAGUCACAUUUUUGCCGUUGUUAAAUAGUGUCAUGUACCCAGGAUCUUCUGUCUUUAUAUAAAUACAUUCUGACAACUUCAAAAUUAGCUUGACUUUGACCCUUGAGUGGCAUCAGCCAAAGACAAAAUGUGAAUUAACAGACUUGGCAGCAUUCAGAACAAUGUUUGGAGAAAUGUCUUUGGUUGAAAAACAGAAGAGAUACAGAUAAUUUAGAGAUGGUGCUUUCGCUCAACCACCCCUCUUUCAAGAAAAAACAAAUACAACCAACCAAAAAAAAAAAAAAAGUGGAAAAAAAAAUCAAAACAGAAACAAACGAAAAAAAAAAAACAACUUGGAGUCUUAGGCAUAAAAAUAAACAUUCUGAGGCAAAUGGGAAUGCCACCUCAUUUAGAAUAAGUUCAAGAGUAGAGGACAGGGUUAUAAUUUUCCUCAACUUGAAAGUUAUAUGAUGAGACAACAUUUAUAAAACCUCUUGUCAAUUCCCAUGCUGAUAACCGGAGACGCAGCAUCAUUCGCUGAAAAGAAUGAAGCAUGAAUGAUUCGCUGUUUCCUAGACCAUGAGAAAAAUCUGGGCAAGCUUGAAAAGUUAUGCCCCUGGGACAGCGUUCAAGCCGGGGCCGAUCGUGCUGCGUGUGUGCACGCGAUGCCAUUGCAAGCUGUCUGCUUCCCUUACAAAGCGGCUGAGCCUCCGGUACAGCCCAGAGAGGAUGUGGUGAAAGAACCCCCUGAACUACCUUCCCUCCGUGGAAAUUUGAAUCUAGGUGUGAUGAUCACCCUGUUGCACGACUUCUAAGGUAUUGAACUGUAUUACAGUGCAUUGUGUAUUUCAUCUCUUAGCCUACAGGCACCUUGAGGAUGGCUGGAUGUGUCAGGAGAAGCUCUCUUGGUGCUUCAGAUGUGAAUCAUUGACUCAUUGACUGGGUUAUAAAAGGCAAAGUCAAUUAAUCAGCUCCUUCCUUCUCUUACCCUGAGAGUUUUUGUGUAUGCAAAUAACACAUCUUGAACCUUUGGUUAUUCGUGUACCCUUUCAAAUGUAAUUUCUACAAAUAAAUUUCAAAUGUCAGGUAUAUUUUAUCAUUUAGCAUCAGCACGUAGGAGGAAAAGGUGAAAGAAGCAAUCCAGCAUCAUUACUUAUGGGUAAGAAAAUUACGGGAAAAUUCUUUAAAGAAGAGAGAGAAGAAACAGAAAGCUGGAGGAAAAUAUCAGGAGCUCAUUUGUGGACACUCCCCCGAAAGGUCAGGGGAGGCAAUGGAAGGAAUGAAACUGUUGAUGGAAAUCAGCAACGCAGACAAACAUCCAAAAAAAUGCAAUCUUCAAAAAAGCAGCAGGCAAUCAGGCAGGGGUGCUGUGAGAAUCCACAAACCUCCAGUCAGUGCUAAAAUAGGACAGCCACCCGGCUCUGUGCUGCAAGGGGCAUCAGCGCAGCCCCAGGCGCCCACGUGGGCAAGAAGAGAGCCCGCAGGGACAGCGUUUGUCCACCCCUGGCCCAAGGAUGCUGGCAAAAGAGCACCGACCUCUCAGGUGUGGAAGCAGUAGGGGCCAAAUGAUGGGCUCCAAGACACACCAACCUGAACGUGAAAUGAGGCUGUUGCCUCUGAGUGCAAAACUGCUCCUGUUGUCAGUUUUGGAAAUAGUUCCUACUGCUGCUGCACGAGCAAAGGACCAAAGAUGUUUGAUACAGAAGUAGUGCUGGCCAUCCUAAGGCGAAAGGAAGCGUGCUGUUAGAGAGGCUGUGCUAUAAAUACACACGUGUGUUCACUCGUUACAUAAACUCAGUGGCAUGUUGGACUUGGGCUGGCCUUUCUGUGAAAACAGACCGCACCGCGGCCUUUCAGCACUUGAAGGGGACUCACAAAAAAGAUGGAGAGCAGCUCUUGGCUCCAUCGGGUACUGACAGGAUGAGGGGGAGCGGCUUCAAGCUGAAAGAGGGCAGGUUUAGAUUGGAUCUGAGGAGGAAAUUCCUCGCUCAGAGGAACUGGGGCUGGGUGUGCGUGGAGGUCCCUCCAGCCCCAGCUGUUCGUGGCUCUGUGGGACACGCUGCGCCCUGGAAAUUAAAGUGCUUAAGAACAAA